Molecule: long non-coding RNA, 413 nt
Filed under: Salvia miltiorrhiza (redroot sage)
Lineage: Eukaryota; Viridiplantae; Streptophyta; Magnoliopsida; Lamiales; Lamiaceae
Description: long non-coding RNA (SMIL_LNC012133)
Source: RNAcentral
CGGUGUAUUCUAAUUGUAUUAGAUAAGGUGGAGAAUUGUGAGUAAAGUAUCUACAUACAAUUAGUCUACACAGGUUCUCUGAUCUCGCCAGAGAAAUGGGUCACCAGCGGAAUGGAGAUUUCGCUGCUCUGAACUUGAGUUCUCUGGUGAUGCUUUGCUCUGCUCUGGACUUGAGUCCUCUGAACUUGAGUUCUCUGGUGAUGUGACUUCGCUGCUCUGGCAUUCGGGCAUUCGAUUCCUCUGGCAUGAUUUCUCUGACUGUGACUCCGCUGACAUAUUGAUUUCUCUGGUCUGGAGUUCGAUUCCUCUGACGGGUAAAAUAUGCACGGGUGUUUAGUCUUUUGCUGAGGGAUCUGUUAGCAAAUAUGCAAGAGUUAAGGGAGUUCAGUUUUAGGUUAGUUACAACAGAUCCA